GAUGAACGCUGGCGGCGUGCCUAAUACAUGCAAGUCGAGCGAACGGACGAGAAGCUUGCUUUUCUGAUGUUAGCGGCGGACGGGUGAGUAACACGUGGAUAACCUACCUAUAAGACUGGGAUAACUUCGGGAAACCGGAGCUAAUACCGGAUAAUAUUUUGAACCGCAUGGUUCAAAAGUGAAAGACGGUCUUGCUGUCACUUAUAGAUGGAUCCGCGCUGCAUUAGCUAGUUGGUAAGGUAACGGCUUACCAAGGCAACGAUGCAUAGCCGACCUGAGAGGGGGAUCGGCAACACUGGAACUGAGACACGGUCCAGACUCCUACGGGAGGCAGCAGUAGGGAAUCUUCCGCAAAGGGCGAAAGCCUGACGGAGCAACGCCGCGUGAGUGAUGAAGGUCUUCGGAUCGUAAAACUCUGUUAUUAGGGAAGAACAUAUGUGUAAGUAACUGUGCACAUCUUGACGGUACCUAAUCAGAAAGCCACGGCUAACUACGUG
RNAcentral lists this ribosomal RNA (497 nucleotides) under uncultured bacterium. RNAcentral describes it as "partial 16S ribosomal RNA". It matches the Rfam family "Bacterial small subunit ribosomal RNA", at positions 28 to 507 of the family's 1533-position model. The record is from RNAcentral.